CCCCAUCGAAACUGCACAACAACUUUGCAAUCUAGGCACUGAAAUCAUGAAAAUCAUGUCACGCUGGCACAACCAAAACAAGGCUCUCCAGCAGUGUGUCACUACACUUCGUUCAGAGCUGCAGGACACAAAAAAAAACUCUCAGAAGCUCUAACUUCUGCAGAAAUCAAUGCUGCUGCCCAAUACUUUUUCAAAGAUGAACAAUGUGACAUGUCCACACAGACAGAGCCUGUCCCUUCAACACUACCUGAACACAUACCUGAGAAUAACAGCAAACUAGAAAUACAACUUGCAACAAAGUCUUCUCCAAAACCAAAUAAAGAUCUACAGAAUGCUUAACCAUACAAACAUUAUAUUGUGACUACACUUUUAAUGCUACACUGUAUUUAACUUUUGAAACUACAAAAUUUUUAUCCUUCCAUUUACUCUUAAACCACAUUAUUUUCUUUUAGCUCUUCUUUAUUAAACUUUUUAACAUACAAUACAGCAUACUAUAUGCAUAUUGCACCUUUAUAAUUUAUAAUUGUUUGUAUUCUUAUUCUUUGUAUUUUAUACAAUAAAAAUGUUUCUCAGACUUACAAUUUUCAUUAAAAUACAAAAAUAUAACAAUCUUCACUACCACAAAACAAUUAUAU
This is a long non-coding RNA of Carassius auratus (goldfish), 635 nucleotides long. RefSeq lists it as uncharacterized. The record is from RefSeq and is a predicted model, not a curated record. The transcript is spliced from 3 exons. Lineage: Eukaryota; Metazoa; Chordata; Actinopteri; Cypriniformes; Cyprinidae.